AUGCCGCUUCUCCAUCCAUCUCCACCUCCCCAGCUCCCUCCCUCCAUUCCUCCCUCGCUCCCUCCCUUGAGCGCGGCCGCCCAAGCCUACUUCGCCACUGCAAGCUACGAUGAGGAUGGUGGCUUCCUGAAACAACGACCACGGCCACUGCGCGGCGAGCUGCAACGACGACGCCCGCGGCCGCCGGUUGUGGGGACUACUGGCGCCAGAAGUUGCAACCUCGUCGUGGGGAGCUGCAACCGGCAACGCCGGGAGCUACAACCUCCUGUUGGCGGAGCACCAGGGCUCCCCGGUCACCACGGUCCUCAUCGAUUCUUUGCUACAGCCAGUGUCAAAAAUUGCUACAACCGGUCAUGCUGCAACCCACGGCUAUGUCCUUUGCAUCUCCGGCGACCCCCUGCCUCAAUUAAAUCUCUACACUGGUUGUAUUGUUCUAAAUUGCCGUUUCCAGCUUUUGAAAAUGUUGCCGGUUGCAACUCGCCGGCCAUCGUAUUUCUUGCUACACCGCUCGCCUGGAGCGCACGCACAGGGGCAGGGAGGAGGAAGAUUGGCUGCCGGGUGGGGGCCGAUUUUUCUGGAAGCUUUGACCAGAGGAAGAAGAACGAGUCGGGGUUGAGUGCCAGAUCGGACGGUCCCUGCUCGCUACAUCGGGCGGCUGGCGUUCGACAGGCCCAACAGUUGGGCCGUAGACUUGGGAGAGCUAAUCUCAACUGUCGAAUUACCAAGCAAAUGGUGCGCAACCACAUCAUGCUCUUCCUCCUCCUCCUUGCUAUGCUACUAACUUCCGGGAGAGACCCGUUCCCGUCGGCCGUGUCCGCGUCACCGGUGGGAUCAGUGGAACCGUUCCAGAAGUGCACGGUCUGCACCGGCGGCCUGUACGAGCCCAACAGCACGUACAGGUCCAACCUGGAGGCCCUUGGUGCGGCGCUCGUCGCCGGGGCCGGCGCGAACGGCGGCUUCGCCGAGGCGAGCAUCGGCGUGGCACCCGACGCCGUCUACGGCCUGGCGCUGUGCCGAGGCGACUACGCCGGGCCCAACUGCACCGGCAGCCUCGCCGCCGCCUUCAGCGAUGCGGCCGAGCUGUACUGUUCAUCCAGAAGAGACGCGACCGUUUACUACGACAACUACACGCUCCGCUUCUCCGGCGAGGAUUUCCUCUCCACCCUCACGGAGCAGCCGAGAUGCUCCGGGUGGAGCGACUCCGGCGAGUCCGGCUGGGACGCCGCCCAGCUGCUCGCGGAGAGGGUCGAGGAGCUGAUGAAGGAGACCAUCAAGCACGCGGCGGCGACGGCUAAGCGGUACGGGACCGGCAAGGCGUGGGUCAGAGGCAGAACAGAGGCCGCGGACAUGGAGUACGUGCUGGCGCAGUGCACGCCCGACCUCACGGAGGCCGACUGCUGGAGCUGCCUCAACGACACCCGCAGCAAGCUGCAGACGUCGUCCAUGCACGACAAGGUCCCAACAAGCCAGUAUGGGGGGAGGCUCGUUGGAGUGCGGUGUAGCUUGCGGUACGAGAGGGUGCUCUUCUUCCAGGAAACGAGCAGCACGCUCGAGCUCCACAAGCCUAGAGGUAUGUACGACACUAGUAGACAGUCGUCGCCUGAAAAAAAGUUCAGUUCAGUUCAGUCAAAUCAAUUUGUACCGGUUGACCAAAAUCCGCGGUACUGCUGUUUGUCCUUCUCGUCUAGCCGCGAUUUCUUCGAGCCCCUCUGCACCUUCCUCCUGAGCCCGCGCCGGCGACGGAGCGGUCCAUGCUCGGGCUCGCCGUUUGUCUCCUUCGUCGGACCGUUGGCGCCGCGGCGCAACUCCAACGGGCUGCGUAGUGCAUUGCAUGGCUAUUUAAGUCAUCUGGCGGCACCGAAACCCUACCAUAUAUCCACAUUUUCCUUCUCCUAUCCGUCGUCGCCACUUUCCACUCCACCCGUCGGCCUAGUAGCCAUGCCCCUCGGCCGCCGGGUUAGGAGCGAGCCAUUUCUAACGCUGGAGCGCCGGCACGAGCUCCUUGAGCAUAUCCGGGCUAGGCGUGAAGCCCGGAUCACCGCGGGGCUACCUUCGGAUGCAGUGGAUCCAGAGGAGGAGUUGGAGGAGGUGGAGGUAAAGGACUUUGAGGAGGAGGGGGAUGAGCCGGAGGAGCAGGAUGUGGGGGACGCUGGCGACGGGGAUCUGCAGGCGGAGCAGUAG
Molecule: ribosomal RNA, 2181 nt
Filed under: Triticum aestivum (bread wheat)
Lineage: Eukaryota; Viridiplantae; Streptophyta; Magnoliopsida; Poales; Poaceae
Description: partial small subunit ribosomal RNA
Source: RNAcentral